UACAGAGGAGCCAAGCGUUGUCCGGAUUGACUGGGCGUAAAGCGCACGCAGGCGGAUGUGCGCGUGGGGUGUGAAAUCUGGCCGCUUAACGGCCAGGCGCCAUCCCAUACGGCGCGUCUGGAGUGAUGCAGAGGUCGAUGGAAUUGCCGGUGUAGUGGUGAAAUGCGUAGAGAUCGGCAGGAACACCCAGGGGGAAACCAGUCGACUGGGCAUCUACUGACGCUGAGGUGCGAGAGCGUGGGGAGCGAACCGG
Molecule: ribosomal RNA, 253 nt
Filed under: uncultured bacterium
Lineage: Bacteria
Description: partial 16S ribosomal RNA
Rfam family: Bacterial small subunit ribosomal RNA
Source: RNAcentral